CACCGGCAGCUCUAGUGGUAGCUGUUUUUAUUGGGCCUAAAGCGUUCGUAGCCGGUUUGAUAAGUCACUGGUGAAAUCCUGUAGCUUAACUGUGGGAAUUGCUGGUGAUACUGUUGAACUUGAGGUCGGGAGAGGUUAGCGGUACUCCCAGGGUAGAGGUGAAAUUCUGUAAUCCUGGGAGGACCACCUGUGGCGAAGGCGGCUAACUGGAACGAACCUGACGGUGAGGGACGAAAGCUAGGGGCGCGAA
Molecule: ribosomal RNA, 250 nt
Filed under: uncultured archaeon
Lineage: Archaea
Also listed under: 1 other name
Description: partial 16S ribosomal RNA
Rfam family: Archaeal small subunit ribosomal RNA
Source: RNAcentral